UUACCAGAGAUGGAGGGCCUCCGCGCCCCCGUCCCCAACCCUUUGUUGACCAAAACCUUCUUGCCUCGGGGGCAGAGCGGCCGCCGCCGCCCCCGGAGGACUACCAAACUCUGUUUCUGUACGUCGGAGUAAUUGAUUAAAUAUAUCAAAACUUUCAACAACGGAUCUCUUGGUUCUGGCAUCGAUGAAGAACGCAGCGAAAUGCGAUAAGUAAUGUGAAUUGCAGAAUUCAGUGAAUCAUCGAAUCUUUGAACGCACAUUGCGCCCUUUGGCAUUCCGAGGGGCAUGCCCGUUCGAGCGUCAUUAAACCCCCUCAAGCCUGGCUUGGUAUUGGGCGACGGGAUCCCCCGCGUCUCCAUUUCGCCGGCCGGCCGUCGUCUGACUUAGCGUUGUGAAACAGAUCGCUGACAAGGUCGACGAGCCGCGCUGUAUAACCCCAUCGUGGAUGUCAAAUGACAUUCAGUAAAGGUUGACCUCGGAUCGGGUAGGAAUACCCGCUGAACUUAAGCAUAUCAAUAAGCGGAGGAAAAGAAACCAACAGGGAUUGCCCUAGUAACGGCGAGUGAAGCGGCAACAGCUCAAAUUUGAAAUCUGGCGCAAGCCCGAGUU
RNAcentral lists this ribosomal RNA (609 nucleotides) under fungal endophyte. RNAcentral's name for it is "eukaryotic LSU rRNA". The stretch from base 150 to 303 matches the Rfam family "5.8S ribosomal RNA". Lineage: Eukaryota; Fungi. The record is from RNAcentral.